RNAcentral lists this ribosomal RNA (628 nucleotides) under uncultured fungus. RNAcentral describes it as "eukaryotic LSU rRNA". The stretch from base 232 to 385 matches the Rfam family "5.8S ribosomal RNA". The record is from RNAcentral. Lineage: Eukaryota; Fungi.
CUUGGUCAUUUAGAGGAAGUAAAAGUCGUAACAAGGUUUCCGUAGGUGAACCUGCGGAAGGAUCAUUAUUGAAAUAAACCUGAUGGGUUGUUGCUGGCUCUCUAGGGAGCAUGUGCACACCUUGUCAUCUUUAUAUCUCCACCUGUGCACUUUUUGUAGACCUUUCAGGUCUAUGUUGCUUCAUUUACCCCAAUGUAUGUUAAUAGAAUGUUGUGCCUAUAUAAUAUAUACAACUUUCAGCAACGGAUCUCUUGGCUCUCGCAUCGAUGAAGAACGCAGCGAAAUGCGAUAAGUAAUGUGAAUUGCAGAAUUCAGUGAAUCAUCGAAUCUUUGGACGCACCUUGCGCUCCUUGGUAUUCCGAGGAGCAUGCCUGUUUGAGUGUCAUUAAUAUAUCAACCUUCUCUUUUUUGAGUUGUUUGGAUGUGGGGGUUUGCUGGCAUCUUAAAUGAUUCAGCUCCCCUGAAAUGCAUUAGCAGAACAAACCUGUUCAUUGGCGUGAUAAUUAUCUAUGCUAUUGAAUGUGAGGGCAGUUCAGCUUUCUAACCGUCCUUGGACAAUUCAUCAUUAAUGUGACCUCAAAUCAGGUAGGACUACCCGCUGAACUUAAGCAUAUCAAUAAGCGGAGGA